Long non-coding RNA from Apis cerana (Asiatic honeybee), 4908 nucleotides. RefSeq lists it as uncharacterized. The record is from RefSeq and is a predicted model, not a curated record. NCBI's taxonomy places the organism in Eukaryota, Metazoa, Arthropoda, Insecta, Hymenoptera, Apidae.
AGUUUACUUUAUUAUUCGAUUUCUAAUUCAAACUUUAAUUUGCUUUUUAAUUUUGUUUAAUUUUAUUUAAUUUUACUUUCAAUUCACUUUAACUUUCAAUUUUAAUUUUUAUUUCAAAAUUUGAUUUAUAUUUUAAUUUAUAAUUUUCUUUUAAUUUUAUAUUUAACAUUUAAUUUGUUUUAAUAUUUAAUUUACAUUAUUUAUAAUUAUUUAUUAUAUUAUAAUAAAUAUUUAUAAUAAUUUAUAAUAUUAUAAUAAAUUAUAACAAAUAUAAUUAUAUGGGUCUCGACGUAGUCACCUCCUCGUUGGUGAGACCCGGUAAUUGGCAUCGGUUUUCGUUUUAUAUUAUUUGAUUAAAUUAUUAGAAAUAUCACAUUAAAAAUAUUGUAUUAAAACUAUAUUAGAAUGAUUAGUUUUUGAAAACUGAUGCCAAGCUAAGAACUACACUAGUUUUAAGUUUAAGUUUAAGUUUAAGUUUAAGUUUUUGUUAUUGUAUCUUUAACUUGUAAAAUUUUGAUUAUUUUGCAAGAAAUUUCGAAAAUUUAUAAUUCGCGACAUCAUUUAUUAUAAUUGAUUAUAAUCUAAAUUUUGAUAGCGAACAAUUAUAACGUAAUUUUUCCAAAUUAUUCAAAUAAUUUUCCAAAUUUUUCUAAAUAAUUCAUAAAAAUUUUUGAAUGUUAAAAAGUAUCUUAGAACUCAUAGCAGUAUUUUCUUAAACAAAUGUUUGAAACGAAAAAGAAAAAAAAGGAAAAAUAUCGAAUAUUUUACUUUUUUUUCCACCCUAUCCCUCCCUUAUUAUGCAAUUUUAUUUUCAGUAAAUUUUUGUUACCGCGCGCGAUCAGUAGAGUCAGUGAUUGCUUUCGUAAAAGUUUUUAAAUUCUUUAAUGAAUAACGCGAAAUUAGAAUCAGUGUUUGUUCGCCGAAUUUAAUUUUUAACCGGUCGCGUUAAAAGACUACGCGUUUAGAGUCAGUGCUUCUCUCAAGAAAAUACGGCGGUCAUCCAUCACGCGAAGAGAUAUUUCCUAACAUCCCCCUGCCAAUAUUCUUCGCAUCUAAUGGUGAGUCGCAUGCAUUUAUGUUCCUCCGGUCACUCAAGCAUGUCGUAGGACGAAAGGUCCGAAUCGACACGAGUGAUUGGUUGUAUACGUAGAUUUUUGCAACGGACAUAGUGACCACGGAUAUACUUAUUAUAUCCGUGAGUAGUAACAUUUUCUGUGUUUUAUUUAUUAGCUCAGGCUAGAUCUUCUUGCACAUCGCGUUUCUCAAAUACUAAUAAACUAAAAAUUUUCUUUUCUUUUUUACACUUCGCUUUAUAUUAUAAUAUAUUUUAAUUAUUCGAUUUUCAAUUUUCAACAAUCAUAUGAUACAAAAUAUAAAAUUUUAAAUUUUAGUUCCUUCGUAUACGAAAAUGUGUAAGAAGAUAUAUCGCGACAGGUAGAUUUCGGAAUCAAAACAAUAAUAUUGAACAUUGUGUUUCUAAUUUCUAAUUCGAAACUAUGUUUUGAUGAAGGAAUCGCCUGAGGUAUUAAUGUUAAUUAAUUAUUAAUGUUAACUUUAAUUUUUCAAUUCAAUUAGUUUAUUUUGCAUUUAGUAUUUCUUGUUGUAAAUAAAUUUCUUAUUUAUUUUUCUUUUGCUUUAUUAUUAUAUAGAUACUAUAUAGAUAUAACUUUAAUAAAAUUAGAGUCAUUGAAUAAAAUUUAAAGUAAAAAUAGAUGAUGAAAUAAAGAAUAUUAGUCCGUUAGAGAAAAAAUAGAUAUUUAUAAUAUUUUUUUAGUUUAGGAUUUUCAGGUUUAACCCCUUCCGUGUCUAUUGCCACGAUCUCACUCACGUGCCCAGGUGUUACUUGGGUGAGAGAGAGGCAAUAGGCAUGAUGACUAUAGUUUAUAAGUUUUUAACGGCGACUGACGAUAAGUUAGUGAUCGUGCACGACGUAUUUUCCACAUUGUGUGUGUUUGCGAUUAGGCUGUGGAAUUGCGUCGUUACGAUUCUCAUUUUUAUUUAUUAUAUUAUCAGUUAUACGAUUUACAAUUUUGUUAAUAUUAUCAUAAAAUUAUAAAUUGUAAAUUGAUACCAAUUAUUAAAUUUUAGUAAUGCCAUUUUUAUUGAUAAUUAAAAUCGAGAUAGAUACGAUUUUUUGUCGCGAUUCACGCAAUGAUCAUUAGCCAUCGUCAGUCGAUUUCAGGAAAAGGUACGUAAAUUUAGAGUGUGAAAGUAGUAUCAAACUCGGGUGUCGGAGGCGUCCCGGGACGUUCUCCCUAGUGUAGGCUUUUGCACCCGGGUGUAAUGUGUGAGAACCGUGGAGUGGGUGUGUUGGUGUGAUUGUUUUGCCAUUUUUAAAUAUAGCGCUAGGUAGGAUAGGUAGUAUACUUUCUGGUGUGCAUGUUAAUUAUAAGUAGGUAGGGCCGGGCAGGUUGUCACAGUCUCUGGUCGGGUAGGCGCGUUUUCGCGUGACAACCUGUUUCAGGAAAUACAAUUUGAAAAAUCGAGAGUGGAGCUGAGAUGAGUGGUCAUCGAUGACCACUCGUUUCUGGUUUUACUUAUAUCGAUUUUUCGAAUUUCGCGGUCGCGGUCGCGAAGUGGGCGAAACGAACGUGCGCUCGAGAUUCUGCGCAUGUGCGGACAAUGGUCAGUAAUGACUAUUGGUCGUCCAUGUGCACUCAGCUUUCGCGAUUUAGUCUAUUUUUUUUCUUUUUUUUUUUUGCGAUUAGGAAAUCUCGAGCCUAGAUUUAAGUUUCAGCGGGCAUUGCGCCCGAAGGAGGAAGACCGAAGAGGCCUCGACAAACUGUCACGAAGAGGGGCUGCAACGAAUGGUUUCUCAUUUUUUGGAUCUUGUCUGGAUCCAAAGAAUGGGAAGUCAUUGUUACUACUUUGUCACUAUGCUCGUUUUAGAAUCAGUAGUAAUAGUAAUAGUAGUAGUAGUAGUAGUAGUAGUAGUAGUAGUAGUAGUAUUAGUAGUAGUAGUAGUAGUAAUAGUAUUUAUGGCCGAUGAGAAUUCCGGCCCAACGUACAAUCAUCAUGGGCAAAUGGGCAAUCGCGAUUUUUUAAUUAGUGUUGCGACAAAUAAAUUACGGUUUGCAUUAGUGUUGCGAAAUAACGAUCGCGUUUGAUUUAGUGUUGCGUUUAAUGAGACAUCGCGAUUUUUUUUAAUAAUUUUAAUUUUAAUAAAACAAUUUUUUAUAAAAAGUAAUAUUAAAAAAUUUUACGUUUAUUUUAUUCCAAAUUUUAAUUAUAGAGAUAUUAACUUUCAAUUCAUUUGCAUUUGUAUUAAAUUCAUUUUAAGAAUUAGUGUUGCGUUGAAAAAUAAUCGCGUUUUUGAAAAUAGUGUUGCGUCAAAAAAUAAUCGCGUUUUUAAAAGUAGUGUUGCGCUAAAAAAUGAUCGCGUUUUUAAAAGUAGUGUUGCGUUUAUAAAAUGCCCAUGAUUCUUCCACUAAUAUUGUGGAAGUGAUCCUGUUUUGGGAUCAUAAAAUGCAGUUGGAAGAGCUGCAAAAAUGUGGUCCUACUUUUGGAUCACAAAGUGGGAAAACGGGCAAUCGCGAUUUUUUAAUUAGUGUUGCGACAAAUAAAUUACGGUUUGCAUUAGUGUUGCGAAUAAGUAACAAUCGCGUUUGCUUUAGUAUUGCGUUUUAUGAGAUAUCGCGAUUUUUUUUUAAUAAUUUUAAUCAUUAUUACAUUUAAUAAUAUAAUUUUUUUUAAAUAGUAGUAUUAAAAAAUUUUAUGUUUAUUUUAUUUCGAGUUUUAAUUAGAGAUAUUAACUUUCAAUUCAUUUGCAUUUAUAUUAAAUUCAUUUUAAGAAUUAGUGUUGCGUUGAAAAGUAAUCGCGUUUUUGAAAAUAGUGUUGCGUCAAAAAAUAAUCGCGUUUUUGAAAGUAGUGUUGCGCUAUAUAAUGAUCGCGUUUUUGAAAGUAGUGUUGCGUUUAUAAAAUGCCCAUAUUCUUCCACUAACAUUGUGGAAAUGAUCCUGUUUUUGGAUCACAAGUGUGGUCCUUGUAGCCUUUUCUGGCUAUCAUUUUUUUUCAGCGCCCCUAAUUAUUACAACAUUUGUUAAUGAAAAUACUGCUAAAAAAUUUAUUCAUUUGAAUUUCAAACUCUCGUACUAUUACAUAAAAUUGUUCGCAUUAUGCAAUAAGAACAUUAAUUUAUUUAAUAUUAUAAAUUAAUAUUCUUAUUACGAUAUAUUGAUACAAACAGUUGAUUUAUUUGGAACAAAUGACAAAUAAUUAUUCGUUGUCAAAAUUAAAAUUAAAAUUUUUUUCUACUAUUUCCCUAAAAUUAAAUAAAAUUUGUUAGUAUUCUUGCAUUUUUAAUUAUGAAACAAUUGAAUAAAUAUUCGGAAUUCCUGCGUGAAAUAUCAAAAUAAAAUUUUUAAUUUAUUCUAUAUGUAAUUUUUAAGAUAUCUUCGAUUAAAUUUAAACUUAAAUUUAAGAUUUAAAUAAAUUUUAAGUCUUAAAUUUAAAUCUUAGAUUUAAGUUUAAUGUAAGAUAGACAUUUAAAUUAAGUCUUAAAUUUAAGUCUUAGGUUUAAGUUUAAUGUAAAAUAGACAUUUAAAUUAAGUUUAUUGUAAGCACAUUUCGUAAGAUGAUACGCUCCUUAACAUAAAAUCAACUCUAUAUAUACAAACAUUCAUUCAUAAAUAUUUUCAAUCCCUUUACUUUUUUUCUUUUUCUAUGUCUUUUUUUUUUUUACUUUGUUAAAUAGGAGCGUAUCUUUAGUACGGAUGAUGCCAGUAGGAUAUAUAAAUCAUAGAUUUAAGAUGUAGUAUUAAGAAUAUAGAUUAAGUUAGAUGAAUGAUGAUAGAUAAUUUAUUUACCAAUUGUAUCACAUUUCUUUUCUAUGUAUAAGAUCUGAUUUGUAGAUAAUUAAUUGUAUUAUUUAAUGUACUGGUCACUUUGUUCAAUAAAUUCAACCUGAU